UACGGAGGGGGCUAGCGUUGUUCGGAAUUACUGGGCGUAAAGCGCGCGUAGGCGGACCUGCAAGUCGGGGGUGAAAGCCCGAGGCUCAACCUCGGAACUGCCUUCGAUACUGCGGGUCUCGAGUCCGGGAGAGGUGAGUGGAAUUCCUAGUGUAGAGGUGAAAUUCGUAGAUAUUAGGAAGAACACCAGUGGCGAAGGCGGCUCACUGGCCCGGUACUGACGCUGAGGCGCGAAAGCGUGGGGAGCG
This 247-nucleotide ribosomal RNA is filed under the name uncultured bacterium. RNAcentral's name for it is "partial 16S ribosomal RNA". It matches the Rfam family "Bacterial small subunit ribosomal RNA", at positions 524 to 770 of the family's 1533-position model. The record is from RNAcentral.